CCUACGGGAGGCAGCAGUGGGGAAUUUUCCGCAAUGGGCGAAAGCCUGACGGAGCAAUACCGCGUGAGGGAAGAAAGCCUACUGGGUUGUAAACCUCUUUUUUCAGGGAGGAAAAAAAUGACGUGUACCUGAAGAAUAAGCAUCGGCUAACUCCGUGCCAGCAGCCGCGGUAAGACGGAGGAUGCAAGUGUUAUCCGGAAUUACUGGGCGUAAAGCGUCUGUAGGUGGUUUAAUAAGUCAACUGUUAAAUCUUGAGGCUUAACUUCAAAACAGCAGUCGAAACUAUUAGACUAGAGUAUAGUAGGGGUAAAGGGGAUUUCCAGUGGAGCGGUGAAAUGCGUAGAUAUUGGAAAGAACACCGAUGGCGAAAGCACUUUACUGGGCUAUUACUAACACUCAGAGACGAAAGCUAGGGUAGCAAAUGGGAUUAGAUACCCCCAGUAGUCCUAGCUGUAAACAAUGGAUACUAGAUGUUGAACAGAUCGACCUGUGCAGUAUUAAAGCUAACGCGUUAAGUAUCCCGCCUGGGAAGUAUGCUCGCAAGAGUGAAACUUAAAGGAAUUGACGG
Molecule: ribosomal RNA, 568 nt
Filed under: uncultured bacterium
Lineage: Bacteria
Description: bacterial SSU rRNA
Rfam family: Bacterial small subunit ribosomal RNA
Source: RNAcentral